GCUUUUGUGGUGUAACAGGGCAACACGUCCGGCUGGCAUUCGGAAAAUUCUGAGUUCGCGUCCCGGCAAGGGCA
RNAcentral lists this transfer RNA (74 nucleotides) under Stegodyphus mimosarum. It matches the Rfam family "tRNA". From Rfam's summary of the family: Transfer RNA (tRNA) molecules are approximately 80 nucleotides in length. Their secondary structure includes four short double-helical elements and three loops (D, anti-codon, and T loops). Lineage: Eukaryota; Metazoa; Arthropoda; Arachnida; Araneae; Eresidae. The record is from Rfam by way of RNAcentral.